CCUACGGGAGGCAGCAGUGGGGAAUAUUGGACAAUGGGGGCAACCCUGAUCCAGCCAUGCCGCGUGUGUGAAGAAGGCCCUCGGGUUGUAAAGCACUUUCAGUGAGGAAGAACGCCUGGUGGUUAAUACCCAUCAGGAAAGACAUCACUCACAGAAGAAGCACCGGCUAACUCCGUGCCAGCAGCCGCGGUAAUACGGAGGGUGCGAGCGUUAAUCGGAAUUACUGGGCGUAAAGCGCGCGUAGGUGGAUUGAUAAGCCGGUUGUGAAAGCCCCGGGCUCAACCUGGGAACGGCAUCCGGAACUGUCAAGCUAGAGUGCAGGAGAGGAAGGUAGAAUUCCCGGUGUAGCGGUGAAAUGCGUAGAGAUCGGGAGGAAUACCAGUGGCGAAGGCGGCCUUCUGGACUGACACUGACACUGAGGUGCGAAAGCGUGGGUAGCAAACAGGAUUAGAUACCCCUGUAGUC
This 465-nucleotide ribosomal RNA is filed under the name Vreelandella stevensii. RNAcentral describes it as "partial 16S ribosomal RNA". It matches the Rfam family "Bacterial small subunit ribosomal RNA", at positions 338 to 795 of the family's 1533-position model. Lineage: Bacteria; Pseudomonadati; Pseudomonadota; Gammaproteobacteria; Oceanospirillales; Halomonadaceae. The record is from RNAcentral.